CUUUCUUUCUUUCUUUCUUUUUGAGAUGGAGUUUCACUCUUGUUGCCCAGGCUGGAGUGCAAUGGCGCCAUCUUGGCUCACCACAACCUCCUGCCUCCCGGGUUCAAGCAAUUCUCCUGCCUCAGCCUCCCGAGUAGCUGGGAUUACAGGUAUGUGCCUCCAAGCCCGGCUAAUUUUGUAUUUUUAGUAGAGACAGGGCGUCUCUAUGUUUGUCAGGCUGGUCUCGAACUCCCAAACUCAGGUGAUCCGCCUGCCUCGGCUUCCCAAAAUGCUGGGAUUACAGGCGUGAGCCACCUUGCCCAGCAAAAUGUAACAGACUUUUCACUAGCAAAGCAGUUAAAAGUAUCUUCUAUCUCUAUCAUCAAAAGUAUAUCUUUCUUUAAAUUCUAAAAGAGCACUUAAAAUCAUCUUAUUGUACAUUCAGGUCUAAAAUUACCAUCAACUUUAAAUGUCAAAAUUAUUGCAGAAAAUUAGAUAAACUGUAAUCAAUGUCUUCUCAAAAGAGACAGAUUUUACACAUAUUUUUAUUUGCAGCUUUGUUUUUCCACUUCAGAUACUGGAAACAUUCUAUUGUUGCAUUAAACCAACAAAUAUCUCAAUAAUAUACAUGUAUUUCUAUAAUAAGGAAUAACUUAGUAAUAUUCUAAUGGUGUUAACAGAAGAUAAUUCAACAGCCCUCAAUAAGGGACUUGAAAAAUGUUUCUCCCUCAUUUAAGUACAAACUUCUCUUCCUUCUAUCAAUCUUUUUUCUCACUAUUUUUUCUUUCUCUUUUUCUUCUCCCCUUAUAUUAAAAACACAAUUUUUCAAUUAUAGAACUCUGAUCUCUUAUCAAGCACAUAAUUCAUUUAACAAGUUAUUUUUUAGUACAUUCCUAAAUAGUAUGUUUCAGGUUCUGUUCAGAAACUAUGGCUUAGAAUUUUAGACAGGCUUAAACAGGACUAGAUCUGGCUUCAUAGAUUAUUACAUUCUUUUGUUGCUAUGCUACUAAAUGUAAGAAUGGUUUGAAACAGGACCUCCAAUUUCACCCAAAAACAUGCAAGUUCUCUUUCUUAAAUUCCAUAUAAUCACUUGAGUAUCACAGGACUGAAAAAGAACACAUGAAUUUGUUUGCUACAUAAAGAGCUACAUUUAGAAGGCCAUGUGACUAGAAGAGAAGAUUUAUGCAAUUCUUAAACAGUUAUGGAGGUUAAGAAGUCCAUGGUCGAGGGGCUACAUCUGCUAAGAGCCUCCUUGCUGGUGGGGACUCUCCAAGAAUCCCAGGACAACAGAGAGCAUCACAGGGCAAGGGGGCUGAGUGUGCUCAUGUGCUCACUCAAGUCUCUCUUCCUUUUCUUACAAAGCCACCAGUCCCACUCCCAUGAUAACCCCUUAAUCCAUUAAUUCAUGAAUGGAUCAAUCACUUCUUAAAGGCCUCACCUCUCAACACUCUCACAUUGAGGAUGAAAUUUCAACAUGAGUUUUGGAGAGGACAAAUAUGUAAACUAUAGUACAUCACAAUAUCAAUAACACAAAAUGUAUACCAAAAGAGAGGUACAUUUGACUUUUGAAAAGCCAGGUUUGAACUACAUGGGUCCACUUAUACACAGAUUUUUUUCAAUAAAUAUAUUUGGAAAAAUUUUUGGAGAUUUGUGACAAUUUAAAAACACUCGGGCUGGGUGUGGUGGCUCAUGCCUGUAAUACCAGCACUUUGGGAGGCCAACUUGGAAGAACUGCUUGUGCCUGGGAGUUCAAAACCAUCCUGGACAACACAGAGAGAUCCUGUCUCUGCAAAAAAUAAAAAUAAAAAUAAAUUAGCCAGGCCUGGUGAUACAUGCCUAUGGUUCCAGCUAUUCAGAAGGCUGAAUGGGGAGGAUCACCUGGGCCUGGGUGGUUGAGGCUGCAGUAGGCCCAAGAUGGCGCCACUGCACUCCAGCCUGGGUGACAGUGAGACUCUGUCUCAAAAAAUUUUUUUAAAUAAAUAAAUACAAUAAAAACACAGACAAACCACGUAGCCAGGAUAACAAAAACAUUAAGAAAAAAG
RNAcentral lists this long non-coding RNA (2021 nucleotides) under Homo sapiens (human). RNAcentral's name for it is "HSALNT0186069". Lineage: Eukaryota; Metazoa; Chordata; Mammalia; Primates; Hominidae. The record is from RNAcentral.